This 75-nucleotide transfer RNA is filed under the name Erysipelotrichaceae bacterium. RNAcentral's name for it is "tRNA-Gln". It matches the Rfam family "tRNA". From Rfam's summary of the family: Transfer RNA (tRNA) molecules are approximately 80 nucleotides in length. Their secondary structure includes four short double-helical elements and three loops (D, anti-codon, and T loops). Further hydrogen bonds mediate the characteristic L-shaped molecular structure. tRNAs have two regions of fundamental functional importance: the anti-codon, which is responsible for specific mRNA codon recognition, and the 3' end, to which the tRNAs corresponding amino acid is attached (by aminoacyl-tRNA synthetases). tRNAs cope with the degeneracy of the genetic code in two manners: having more than one tRNA (with a specific anti-codon) for a particular amino acid; and 'wobble' base-pairing, i.e. permitting non-standard base-pairing at the 3rd anti-codon position. The record is from RNAcentral. Lineage: Bacteria; Bacillati; Bacillota; Erysipelotrichia; Erysipelotrichales; Erysipelotrichaceae.
UGCAGUGUAGCCAAGUGGUAAGGCAGUGGACUCUGAAUCCACCAUUCAUAGGUUCGAACCCUAUCACUGCAGCCA